RNAcentral lists this ribosomal RNA (727 nucleotides) under uncultured bacterium. RNAcentral describes it as "bacterial SSU rRNA". It matches the Rfam family "Bacterial small subunit ribosomal RNA", at positions 65 to 787 of the family's 1533-position model. The record is from RNAcentral.
AGCGGCAGCGCGGGGGCAACCCUGGCGGCGAGCGGCGAACGGGUGAGGAAACCAUCGGAACGUGCCCGAGAGUGGGGGAUAACGCCGCGAAAGCGGCGCUAAUACCGCAUAUUCUCUGAGGAGGAAAGUGGGGGACCUGCAAGGGCCUCACGCUCACGGAGCGGCCGAUGUCGGAUUAGCUAGUUGGUGGGGUAAAGGCUUACCAAGGCGACGAUCCGUAGCUGGUCUGAGAGGAUGAUCAGCCACACUGGGACUGAGACACGGCCCAGACUCCUACGGGAGGCAGCAGUGGGGAAUUUUGGACAAUGGGGGCAACCCUGAUCCAGCCAUGCCGCGUGCGGGAAGAAGGCCUUCGGGUUGUAAACCGCUUUUAGCCGGGAAGAAAAGGCAAGGGACAAUACCCCUUGUUCUUGACGGUACCGGCGGAAUAAGCACCGGCUAACUACGUGCCAGCAGCCGCGGUAAUACGUAGGGUGCGAGCGUUAAUCGGAAUUACUGGGCGUAAAGCGUGCGCAGGCGGUUCGUUAAGUCAGAUGUGAAAGCCCCGGGCUCAACCUGGGAACUGCAUUUGAAACUGGCGGGCUUGAGUAUGGCAGAGGGGGGUGGAAUUCCGCGUGUAGCAGUGAAAUGCGUAGAGAUGCGGAGGAACACCGAUGGCGAAGGCAGCCCCUGGCCAAUACUGACGCUCAGGCACGAAAGCGUGGGGAGCAAACAGGAUUAGAUACCC